AAUGAAUGGAGGGCGGCGGCGACUGCUGCAGCUGGGCCAGCUGCGCGGGCUGCACCCCCUCCCAGCCUGCGAGAGGAGGAAGCUAGUAGAAGAUUUGUACCAACAAAACCAAGGAGUAAACAACUUGAGAAUAACUGCGUGAGCUCAGGGCUUGGACUGUCAGAUUCCAUUUCUAAGCUUCCAGAAGAGCAACACAUAGACACUGGGGAAGUCAGAGCCUUUGAACUCCAAUGCCAUCCCCGUCACCCACCUCCACCACCAGCACCACCACCGAAUGGCACUUUGGACAAUUUUUCCCUCUCAUGUGACCUGUCAUUUCUUAUGUCAGUUGGAGCCAGCACCUCUCAAAUCCAUCUUCUAAAACCCAGAAAAUUGUGUGUAACACAUGAUGACUGAAAGGGAGUAGGCUGACCAGUUAAGAGCCUGCCACUGGAAUGGAGGGCUGUGGGAGGGUGAGGGGAUGGUGGACAUCAACCGGGAAGAGCCAAAAGAUAGCGUUACCAGGACAACUUCCAGUAAAAGAAGGCACUGAGAAUUAAGUGCUAUGUGGGAGUAGUUGCCAAUUUUUGCAAUGGGAGGCUGCAUAGAUUCAAGGACUUCCUCGGGUGCUCCAGGAGCUUGUCAUUCCAGAGGCAGAGCAGCCCAGAAGUCCUGGGAUUUACACC
Molecule: long non-coding RNA, 665 nt
Organism: Nomascus leucogenys (northern white-cheeked gibbon)
Lineage: Eukaryota; Metazoa; Chordata; Mammalia; Primates; Hylobatidae
Exons: 5
Source: RefSeq, a predicted model, not a curated record